This is a non-coding RNA of Phoenix dactylifera (date palm), 857 nucleotides long. Lineage: Eukaryota; Viridiplantae; Streptophyta; Magnoliopsida; Arecales; Arecaceae. The record is from RefSeq and is a predicted model, not a curated record.
CAGCCCUAGCUGAGAUAAUCUCUUCUUCUUCUUCCCAAGAGUGAACUUUUCCCUCUCCCCUGUGAUCUUUGGAGCUUUGUUGGCUGUUGGAAAGUAGAAGGAAAAUCAGAGAACAGAUAUCAGAAUUGUGGCAGGUGGGCCAUAUCAUCCUGGUAAAAAUACAACUCGAAGAAUCUGAAUAUAACUUAGCAAAAAAAAGAAUCUGAAUAUAAAAUGUCCCGAAGCUGAUCUGGGGCUGAAGCCAAAUUCUCCCAGAUGGUGUCCACUAUUGUGUGAUUCUUUCACCGUUCAAUCAAAUGAAAUAACAUUUGAUUCAAACAUCCACACCAGCUAAAAAGUUUUGUUUUUUUAUUUGAUUAAUGACAAACAGUUAUUUUUCAUUAUUUUAUAUCAUAAAAGCAUAUAAAAGAAAUUGUAACAGCUAUUAUCUUACUCCAAAGAAUCCUGGGAAAGGGCUCAAAUUGGCAAACAAAUGACAUUGUUUUUGUCAUAAUGGUAAGUAAAACCCAACACACUCACACUCCUGCUUGACGUUCCAAUUUGUUUCUUUUUUGAAUAUUGACUGAAAUCUUUCUGGUCAGGCUAUCGGCAAGCCCUCCCAUCUCCUUCCUUUUGAACUGCACAUUUGAAGUGCACAUCAGCUGGCUCUGACCGAUUCAAGGAAAAGCAGAAGCCAAAAAACAGAUAUUCCCCUCAUGGAUUACCUUGCAACUUGCUCAGAUGUCACGAAUAUUCCAUUAACUAUUGCUUAACUCUAAGAUUUGUAGGAACCAGGCAUCAUUAAUAACUAAUAAACAUUUUUCCAGGAAGCAUGAUGUCAUACGGAACUCCACUGGCGGAUCAAACUUUCAUAGACU